GUAGGUGGCAAGCGUUGUCCGGAAUUAUUGGGCGUAAAGCGCGCGCAGGUGGUUCUUUAAGUCUGAUGUGACAGCCCCCGGCUCAACCGGGGAGGGUCAUUGGAAACUGGGGAACUUGAGUGCAGGAGAGGAAAGUGGAAUCCCACGUGUUGCGGUGAAAUGCGUAGAUAUGUGGAGGAACACCAGUGGCGAAGGCGACUUUCUGGCCUGUAACUGACACUGAGGCGCGAAAGCGCGGGGAGCAAACAGGGAUUAGAUACCCUGGUAGUCCACGCCGUAAACGAUGAGUGCUAAGUGUUGGGGGGGUUUCCCGCCCCUCAGUGCUGCAGCUAACGCAUUAAGCACUCCGCCUGGGGAGUACGGUCGCAAGACUG
This 374-nucleotide ribosomal RNA is filed under the name uncultured organism. RNAcentral describes it as "partial 16S ribosomal RNA". It matches the Rfam family "Bacterial small subunit ribosomal RNA", at positions 527 to 896 of the family's 1533-position model. The record is from RNAcentral.